AACGAACGCUGGCGGCAUGCCUAACACAUGCAAGUCGAACGAGGCCUUCGGGUCUAGUGGCGCACGGGUGCGUAACGCGUGGGAACCUGCCCUUAGGUUCGGAAUAACUCCCCGAAAGGGGUGCUAAUACCGGAUAAUGUCUUAGGACCAAAGAUUUAUCGCCUUUGGAUGGGCCCGAGUUGGAUUAGCUAGUUGGUAGGGUAAAAGCCUACCAAGGCGACGAUCCAUAGCUGGUCUGAGAGGAUGAUCAGCCACACUGGGACUGAGACACGGCCCAGACUCCUACGGGAGGCAGCAGUGGGGAAUAUUGGACAAUGGGCGAAAGCCUGAUCCAGCAAUGCCGCGUGAGUGAUGAGGGCCUUAGGGUUGUAAAGCUCUUUUACCCGGGAUGAUAAUGACAGUACCGGGAGAAUAAGCUCCGGCUAACUCCGUG
RNAcentral lists this ribosomal RNA (433 nucleotides) under uncultured bacterium. RNAcentral describes it as "partial 16S ribosomal RNA". It matches the Rfam family "Bacterial small subunit ribosomal RNA", at positions 29 to 507 of the family's 1533-position model. The record is from RNAcentral.